CUAACACUGUAGUUCUCCUCCAAGAUCAUUCCUAUUAUGGCCUGGAUCAUUGCUUUGGUUCAAGUAGAGAUAUGACAUACUAGCAUAAGGAAUUCUCAUCAGAAAAACUAACAACACUGAGACCAAAACUCACAGUGAAGGACUGCUAACUCUUCUUGGACCAGACACAUAGGCAGAACCAAGCCCCUACAUCUCUUUAACUCUGCUUUGCUCUUUCAUCAUCACUUAACGGGGAAUUCAAGAAAACUGAAAACCUUCCCCAGAUGUUUCUAAAAUAAACACCUGGAUAUCAGCAUGACAACAGGGGGCGUUUCCAUGGUGUGGACAAAGUCAUCUAAGUAUAAAAGCCGUAUACCACCUUUAGCAGUGCAAUACCUUCAUAGACUUAUCACGGUAAUCAAAAGUGCAGUUCCGAAAAUAUUUUUGCUUGUGAGCACACCCAAGCCAUUUUGUUUUCCUGCCUGUUAUUUUCCCAAAGUCCUUCCUUCUCCCACUGCCUGCCCAGCAAUCAGUACAAUUUGGCAGCAUGGAGAAAAAAAGAAAAG
RNAcentral lists this long non-coding RNA (545 nucleotides) under Cyanistes caeruleus (blue tit). Its description in RNAcentral is "lncRNA (ENSCCEG00000013985.1)". Lineage: Eukaryota; Metazoa; Chordata; Aves; Passeriformes; Paridae. The record is from RNAcentral.